Molecule: ribosomal RNA, 506 nt
Filed under: uncultured bacterium
Lineage: Bacteria
Description: partial 16S ribosomal RNA
Rfam family: Bacterial small subunit ribosomal RNA
Source: RNAcentral
GAUGAACGCUAGCUACAGGCUUAACACAUGCAAGUCGAGGGGUAACGAGAGGAAAGCUUGCUUUCCUUGUCGACGACCGGCGCACGGGUGAGUAACGCGUAUCCAACCUGCCCCCAACUAGGGAAUAACCUUGCGAAAGUAAGACUAAUACCCUAUAAUUUCCUCAGAUGUCAUCUGACGAGGAAUAAAGAUUUAUCGGUUGUGGAUGGGGAUGCGUCUGAUUAGCUUGUUGGCGGGGUAACGGCCCACCCAGGCAACGAUCAGUAGGGGUUCUGAGAGGAAGGGCCCCCACAUUGGGACUGAGACACGGUCCAAACUCCUACGGGAGGCAGCAGUGAGGAAUAUUGGUCAAUGGGCGGAAGCCUGAACCAGCCAAGUAGCGUGCAGGAUGACGGCCCUAUGGGUUGUAAACUGCUUUUAUACAGGAAUAAAGUUAGCCACGUGUGGUUAUUUGUAGGUACUGUAUGAAUAAGGACCGGCUAAUUCCGUGCCAGCCGCCGCAGUAA